Molecule: microRNA precursor, 78 nt
Filed under: Myotis myotis
Lineage: Eukaryota; Metazoa; Chordata; Mammalia; Chiroptera; Vespertilionidae
Also listed under: 1 other name
Description: mir-9229 microRNA precursor family
Rfam family: mir-9229 microRNA precursor family
Source: Rfam by way of RNAcentral
GAGACACCCCUAUGGAGCACAGGACUUGCUUCAGUGGGGCUUUGGUGCUCACAGAGUCUGCCUCUUGAGUGUGUCGCU